CAAUUGCCUCCUCAAAUACCAAGCUUUGCUGCUAAAGGGAUCUGCAGUCCAGCUGAAAACCUGCCCUUGCCUGAGCCCAGCCACUUUCUCCCAGAGAAAACUGGAGAACCUAAACAUGAUUGUGAACAGAAUGGCUUCCGGUGGCCUGGGACUCCUUGGGGAAACAGAAAAUGCACCACAAAUCCCAUUUUAGGAAAAAUCUGUUUUCCUCGGAGCCCCUGG
RNAcentral lists this long non-coding RNA (222 nucleotides) under Homo sapiens (human). RNAcentral describes it as "non-protein coding lnc-AAK1-2:2". The record is from RNAcentral. Lineage: Eukaryota; Metazoa; Chordata; Mammalia; Primates; Hominidae.